RNAcentral lists this ribosomal RNA (567 nucleotides) under uncultured Pleosporales. RNAcentral describes it as "eukaryotic LSU rRNA". The stretch from base 203 to 356 matches the Rfam family "5.8S ribosomal RNA". The record is from RNAcentral. Lineage: Eukaryota; Fungi; Ascomycota; Dothideomycetes; Pleosporales.
CUUGGUCAUUUAGAGGAAGUAAAAGUCGUAACAAGGUUUCCGUAGGUGAACCUGCGGAAGGAUCAUUACCGUGGGGCUUCGGCCCCAUUGAGAUAGCACCCUUUGUUUAUGAGUACCCUUGUUUCCUCGGCGGGCUUGCCCGCCAUGAGGACAAUAAAAACCCUUUGCAGUAGCAGUAACUUCAGUUAAUAAUAAAUAUUAAAACUUUCAACAACGGAUCUCUUGGUUCUGGCAUCGAUGAAGAACGCAGCGAAAUGCGAUAAGUAGUGUGAAUUGCAGAAUUCAGUGAAUCAUCGAAUCUUUGAACGCACAUUGCGCCCUUCGGUAUUCCGUUGGGCAUGCCUGUUCGAGCGUCAUUUAAACCUUCAAGCUAUGCUUGGUGUUGGGUGUUUGUUCCGCCUCAGCGCGUGGACUCACCUCAAAUUCAUUGGCAGCCGGUAUGUUGGCUUCGUGCGCAGCACAUUGCAAGCGAUCUCAGCAGACCCCCUUCCAUAAGCCCUUUUUUUACUUUGACCUCGGAUCAGGUAGGGAUACCCGCUGAACUUAGGCAUAUCAAUAAGCGGAGGA